GGGGUGGUUCAGUUGCUUCAAGAGGUCAAUCUCUUUAAUGCAAUCUUGCCUAGCCUUGGCAUCCAUCAUUUCAAAAAUGAACUUUCUUUAAUGCCACAGGUUUUCUGUCCAGAAGACAAGUUGCUUUGUAAACUUCACUGAACUGUCCUCGUCCGAUCUUCUUCUCUAUCUGAAAGUCUGCCAGUGUGCAGCGAUACGGGUAUGAUGUUAAAUGUCUCUGCGGGUCGUGCUGGAAGUCCUGGCCUGGCAGCUUGCAGAGCGCGCUGGUCUGGUCCCCCAGGUGCUGCGGGUGCUCGUGCUGCCCCUCCAUGCCCACAUGCCAAGCGCUGCCGGACCUGCGGGCUGGCGGCCGGCGCUGCCCCCGCUCCUCCGGGCGCGUCUGCGUCCGCGCGCGUGUUUUCCACGUCCCGCGAUGAGUCACCGCGCGGAGCUGCCCCGGAGCGAGGGAGCAUGAGCGGAGCCCUCCCACCGCCCUCCCGCGGCCGGCCUCCCCCGGAAAGGGCCGGCUUCCCGCACCCAGCGCGGCCGGGAGGCGGCGGGGAGGGCGCGGCGGGACCGAUCCGGGCCGGGCCCCCAACCCAGCGCGGCCCCGGGGCGGGGAGGGCCGCGGGUUGCGCGUCCGCUUAGCGCUGCGCCGGGUUUUGCACGAGUGGAGAAAAAGCGGAGAGCGAACGCGGCAGUCAAUAAAAGCGAAAGUGCAAGUCUGGUUUACUUGGCCCGACCGGGCGGAACCGCGGCUCCGGGCAGCAGCACCUGCGGGCCCCGUGGGCGGCGCGGCCGCGUUCAGUCCCAGUGGGUGCCGGCAGCCCCGCCGGCCGCACCGCCGCCUCUCCUCCUACAGCUCUGCGCCAAACGAGCGCGAAUUCAGGGCGUACAGAGCGGGCGACCGCGCACGGACCGCACAGCGCGAGGCUUCCGCUGCGUCCCGCGGUGCGGUGCUGCCGGAGCAGAUCCUCGCACAGCUCUCUCCCGCGGGGCAGAUGCCGCGCAGCUCCGCGGCGCUCCUCGCUGGAGACAGAGCAGGAGACACAACAGAUGGAAGCCGUGCGGCCACCUGGUUCUAAAGCAAAUCAUACCAUCAAUCUAUCGGUGUGAAAUCUGAAACAUGGGAAUGUGCUUGGAGAAACAACACGAAUUCCUUUUUUUCCCCCUCCCAACUCGAUUUCCCCGAGGUCUGUCGGAGCUCCGUUCCAAAAAUGCAUUUCUUUUUCUGAAAAACGGUGCCAGUGGAUGGAGGUGCACAAACCUGCGUGCUUUAUACCAAAACAAAACCCAAAGAAAGGAUCCUUCCUUCGGCUGCCAUGAGUUCCUCUUUCUAUUACAGAAAGCUGUUUAUAAAGAUCUGCCACGUUCCCGUGCACAGCUCCAAGAUCCAGGCCCUCGCUGCUAAAUUACACACACAGAAUUACUUUGGAUUAUCCACAACGACUCGGUUAAGAAAGAAAAUUACAUUUCCUCAAUGACGUCUUGUCAAAAAUAGGCUUUCCUUCAUACAAACUGCCCCAGUUCUCUCUGGGGCUCCGGGUGCUCAUGGGGCAGCCCUGCUGUCCCACCGACCGCUCUGCUCCCAGCGCUCAGACACGGAUGAGCACUGCAAACACAGUGCUGCCAACACAGCACUGCAAUCAUGGCACUGCACUGUGUGGCUGAGCGGAGCCGGUGGGGAAUGCCCUCACCCUGGUGGGUAUGAGGUUCCC
Molecule: long non-coding RNA, 1697 nt
Filed under: Gallus gallus (chicken)
Lineage: Eukaryota; Metazoa; Chordata; Aves; Galliformes; Phasianidae
Source: RNAcentral